This is a long non-coding RNA of Rhincodon typus (whale shark), 2496 nucleotides long. RefSeq lists it as uncharacterized. The record is from RefSeq and is a predicted model, not a curated record. The transcript is spliced from 2 exons. Lineage: Eukaryota; Metazoa; Chordata; Chondrichthyes; Orectolobiformes; Rhincodontidae.
GUCCAAGCUGUGAGUCGAUUCAGAGCAAGUGUUGGAUGUGGGCACAGCCCCCCGCAUUGCACUCGCACUGAUUUCCGAGGUGUAAAUUGGAGUAUGAGAUACAGGAUACUCUCUGCAGAUAAUGAUGCUCUGAGCUCUCCAAACGGGUUCCUUCUCGCCUUUGACGCAGUUUCUGCCCGAGAGUUCGGCUCUGGACCUAGUCAGUGAUCCAUUCGCAAGUUGCACUGGCGUUCAGAACAAAUUUUUUGCUUGUUUUCACCGAAUUUAUUUGCAAAUUACUGAAAUAAUCUACAAAACUGCACAAUCAGAGAAGUAAGGAUUCUGGAAAGCAAGCUGGAAAGUGAUUUGGAACAGAAUGUCACAGAAUGAUCAUGUUGAAUGAUGGAGCAAGCUGGAGGAGCCAUAUUAUUUACUCAUGUUCCUAUUUUUCAUGUUCUGAAGCCCUUUUCAGUUGUAAAUUAUUCAGUCCUGCCUUGUUCUGACCUACGUGUGACUCAAAUCCCACACAAACGUGGUCAACAGUACUCUAAAGAAGAAGAAAGCAGCUCUCUACUACCUUCUCAAGGGCAGUUAGAAUGGGCAAUAAAUGCUGGCCCAGCCAAUGAUGCCCAUGUCCCAUGAGUGAAUAAAACAAAAGGUCGCCAAGCAAACCACUCAGUUGCAACAAAUGCUACAAAGAAUCAACAUUCUGGAGGCAAUUUUCACCAUGCAGGGUGCAACAGUCGAGAAAAACAAGGCCUGCCACUCUCAUCUCAGGGCAACUAGAGAUACACUACAGUUGCUCCCUGACUUACAAAUAUCUGAAUUAUGUUCAUACUUACUAAUGAGAUCCCACAUUACUAUUAAGUUUAAGGAUCUGGCAUGCGAACAUUCAGUCGUACUUACAAAUGGAUGUUUUACAUUGUACUGUAUUGUGUUCCGACUUGUGAAAAGUAGACUUAUGAAUAUACACAGGAAAGGAAUCAUGCAGGGACUGCCUAUACUGUUGCCUUUCUUGCCCCUGGACUUGGAGGAUCUUACAAAGACACCACUGGUGGCACUUAAGGUUGGACAGGCCUGGGUUCUAACGGUUGGAUUUUAGAAGAGUAAAGGUGACUUGAUUGAAACAUGUAAGACUGUGAGUGUUUUGAACCGUGCAGCUGUGGAAAGAAUGCUUCCUCUUGUGGGAGAUUCUAUAACUGCAGGGUCACCAUUUUAAAAAUAAAGAGGCUAUCACUCAAUUCAGAGAGGAUGAGAAUUUAUUCUCACAUUAAGUGAUGAUUCGUUGGAAUUCUCUUCCUCAAAAGGCAGAGUUUUUGAGUAUUUUGAAGGCAGAAGUGGAUAGAUUUUUGAAAAGCAUGAGAGGUGAGAGAUUAUCCUAGGGUAUGUGGAAGUGUAGAGUAACUAUCAACCAUGACCUUAUUAAAGAAUGGAGCAGGCACAAAGGACCAGAUGGCCUACUCCUGCUCCUAACCUCUAUGUUUGCAUGUUCUCCAGUGCUUUGAGUUGUCUGCCGUAUGUCACUCAUGUUGCUGAGGCAUUGAGCAGUGCAGGGCCACUGCUGCUCAGUAAAUUGUGACCUUAGUCUUGGGUUUGAGAUCCAAGUAGUUAAAUACAUUUUUUGUCAGUUGGCCAAAUGAUGAACUGGACCAUUGGAGGAUGGAUAGUGUCAUCUAUGUUUGCCUUUGUUGCUAGGUGGCUUCCAAAAUAUAGAACAUGAUCCACAUUUUCCAGGAUCAUGCCAUUGAUCUUAAUCAAUGGAGAAGAUUUUAUGUUGUGGGAGCUGAUUGGAAAAGUUUUUUGAGAAUUUACUGAAAAGCCUAACAUCCCAAAUGCUUCGGAGAUGGGGCUGACACUAAAUGCCCCAUCUCUGGACUCCCUGAAACCUGCCCAUCACCGACAAUGCAUGCAUUAAGAAUGAGAUGGGAAACUCUUCUUUUGCCUCAAUGGGUAUAGCUGCAACAACACUCCCGAAGCUCAACACUAUCCUGGGUAAACCACUCUCCUUGUUGUGUAGAGGCUUAAGCCUUUGCUCUCUCGUCAUUACUGCAACUUGGCUGCAGUGUAUUAUUGACAGGUCGCCCGGCCAGCAACUAGCAAGGCAUCUUUGCUGGUAACUCUCAAAUCUGUGACUUCCACCACUUCAAGCAAGAAGGCCAGCUGGAGUAUGGGAAAACUAUGACCUUCAAAAUCCCCUCAAAGUCACACACCAUCAAAACUGGAAAAUAUCCCACCAUUACACUUUCAUCAUUGGAUCAAAUCCUGGAAUUCCCUCUCUAACAGCAGUUUAAAAGUACUUUUACCACAUAGACUGCAGUGGUUUAUGAAGGUGGAUUACCAGCAACUUCUCAUGGGCAACUAGGGAUAGUCAGCAAAUGCUGAACUUGCUAGUGCUGUUUACAGCUGAAAAAUGUAUUUUUAAAAAUUGAGAACCUAUUUUUAAUAAACAUUGUUGGUGAAAAGUUAUACGAGCUAUCAAAUGUAACUAAAAUGAAUUAAAAGUUAAAAUGUUUUGAA